Molecule: long non-coding RNA, 881 nt
Filed under: Lotus japonicus
Lineage: Eukaryota; Viridiplantae; Streptophyta; Magnoliopsida; Fabales; Fabaceae
Description: long non-coding RNA (LJAP_LNC001080)
Source: RNAcentral
UGGCUGAGUUCAAGGCAGCCUCAAGCGAUACCCAAAGCCCUGAAUUCAACGGACUCCUAAUCGUCCUUUGUUCUCCAUGCCUCACUCUCAUCCUAGAAUUGGACCCAUUUGAAGGCCCAGAAGAAGAAACAACCAAUCUAGAACCACCAAAAUCAUGGGCAACAGAGGAAUCAGCAGCAGAAGUAGAAGCUUGAGAAUUGGGGGUUAUGUCAAUCACAUGGUGAGUUGGUCGCGCCAUUAACAAAGGGUCAGUGUCGGAAGAAGAAGAAGAAGAACCUUCAGGACACAGUUGAGGUGAAAACAAAACAUCCAUCAACGUUUACAAUUCCAUUUUCUCUAUCAAGUGAAGAUUGAAUUUGAAAUUGAAAACCCCAGAAGCAGCAACCACCUGGGUUCUGCAAAAGAAGCAAAAUUUCACUGCAAUCUUGUUGUUACCCUUUGAAACUAAAUUAGGGUUAAGAAAUUCGAAAACCAGAAAUUGCAAAAUUGAUUGGUGUAAUUGAUAGAUUUUGGAAUGGAUGAAUGAGAAUUGAGGAGGAUUAAGAGGGUGAUUACCUGAGUAUGAGGUGAUUAAUUAGGGAAUGGAAGAGGAUUAUAGUUAAUUAGGGUUUGCUUGUUCUUGUUGAACGAGAGAGAGUUGAGUUGAAUUGAAUUGAUGGAAGGAACACGUUGACUGAAUAAUGAACAUAUAAAAACGACGGUGGCACUCAAAGAAUCUAGAAUGAAACGACAGGGAAUAGAGGAAAACGGUGUCUGAAGGAAAGUGGGGCCCGGUUUCUGUGACGGAGAAGGCAAAGAGAGGAACUAAUGAAUGAAUGGUGUUUGUUAGACUCAGUCACCCACCAUUCAUAAGCCCCUCAACACAUAAAUCUUCUUUCUUU